Molecule: non-coding RNA, 1711 nt
Filed under: Pongo abelii (Sumatran orangutan)
Lineage: Eukaryota; Metazoa; Chordata; Mammalia; Primates; Hominidae
Source: RNAcentral
AAUACAGCCCACUGGUUGGGGCAUCAGAAUCCCUGUGGGGGUGCGCUGAGUAGUGGUCACAGAGAGGGGUCUAUGCUAAGCUGCUUUCAAUCCAGAUUAGGGUGAGCCACAAGAAAAAUUCUUGGGAGAUAUGAGUGGUGGGCGUAAAACAGCAGCUGUUGUGUAGCUCACACAUGUUGUUGCUAAUCUGCUGGUUUUUAAACUUGUGAUCUGACCUGUCUGAGAGCAUGCCUUGUGGACUUCAAGCCACAGCAUGAGAUCCAGUGAUAACAGCCUUGCAGAGACUACUUAACCAGCCUCCACAAUAGUAUAAGCCAGGUCCCUGUAACAAAUCUCGUACUGGUUCUGCUUCCCUGGUUGAAAUUUGAAUACAGUCACUCUAUUGACCAGGACGACCCUGUUGCAGUACAUGGUUGUCUCCAGUCACCUGGCUGGUAGAUUCCUCCAAAUCUAUGGGGAAGGACUAAAGGGCCCCCAAGAGGCUAUAGUGAUGGUGUGAUAAUUAAUUUUAUGUGUCAACUAGAGUGGGCUGAAGGAUACCCAGAAAGCUGGUAAAACAUUAUUUGGGAGGCUAUCUAUGAAGGUGUUUCAAGAAGAAAUUAGCAUCAAAAUCUGUAGACAGAGUAAAGAAGAUCUGCCCUCCCCAGUGUGGGUAGGCAUCAUUCAAUCACUUCAUGGUGCAGAAAAGGUAAAAAGGUGGAAGAAGGGCAAAUUCUCUCUCUUUUUGAGCUGAGACAUCCAUCUUCUGCAGAAAGGCAUAGGAGCUCCUGGCUCUUAAGCCUUCAGACUCUGGAACUUUUACCAGUGGCCUCCCAGUUCUCAGGACUUUGGACUUGAUCUGAAUUAUACCACUGGCUUUCCUGGUUUUCCAGCUGCAGAUGGCAGAUCAUGGGACUUAUUCCCAUGUGAGCUAAUUCCCAUAUUAAACCUCCUCUCCUGCCUCUCUAUAUAUCCUAUAGUUUCUGUUUCUCUGAAGAACCCUGACUAUACCAACAACUUGGAAACUCGGAAGUAACAGGUAAUAACAAUGAUGCUGGGGAUAGAAACAUGACAGGUACACAGCAUGUACUAAAUGUAGGUUCCCAGUACUACAGACUCAUUUUUUCUUACCAACCACCCUAUAAAAUAGGUACUGUUAUUUUAUUUCCCUCUGUACUCUGAGGCACACAUAGAUGAAAUAACUUGCUAGUAAGCAGAAAGCCAAAAAUUAAACUCAGGUACUCUGGCUCCAGAAUCUGUGCUCUUCAAUCCUACUGCACCAUUCCGAAUCAACCUAAAUGUAAUGGUUUCCAUCCUCUGGCUACCCUGCCUUUUAGAAAUUUUUCACAACAGAAAAAUAGUGUGCUAGCCUGUGACAGUGCAGCCAGGAAACUUCAGUUCUGGUCCUGAUUUCACCACUGACUGGCUGUUGCUGAAGCAAACUAAAUAUGGCCUGAGAAGGACCGCGUACUUCUGUUUCUGAGUGAUUGUGGAUGAACUGUAACCUAGCUUAACAGGCAAACUAAUAGGCCUAAUAAUAGGCUAAUAGACGAAUAGGCCAAGCUUUAACCAAUCCAGCCAUCUGUUCCUCACUUCCAAUUUCUGUAGGUCACUUCCUUUUUUUUCCCUUCUACCACAUGGCUGCGCUGGAGUCUCUGUGAAUCUGCUGUGAUACUGGGGGCUGCCCGAUUCGUGAAUCAUUCAUUAUUCAAUUAAACACCUUUAAAUUUAA